GGACAGCCUGGGGAGGCUGUGGCACUGUCUGAAAGGGCACGAGAAAGGUAUAGACCGUUUGGAUUGUGGUCGUCAGAUGUUGAACUUACUGAAAGAGCUGACCGAAUUGGUCGGUCAUGACUGACGUUGGUUCGACUGGUUGAAUCGGUGGAGGAAUUUCCGACGCCAGCAGUUGAACUUGAUUGUCAGCUUAGCUGGCUACU
RNAcentral lists this long non-coding RNA (203 nucleotides) under Elaeis guineensis (African oil palm). RNAcentral describes it as "long non-coding RNA (EGUI_LNC037473)". Lineage: Eukaryota; Viridiplantae; Streptophyta; Magnoliopsida; Arecales; Arecaceae. The record is from RNAcentral.